This 33-nucleotide transfer RNA is filed under the name Megalapteryx didinus (upland moa). RNAcentral's name for it is "partial tRNA-Lys". The record is from RNAcentral. RNAcentral also lists the same sequence under 1 other name. Lineage: Eukaryota; Metazoa; Chordata; Aves; Dinornithiformes; Emeidae.
AGAGAGAGAGGUACACCCAUCCUCCUUAAUGAU